Molecule: ribosomal RNA, 253 nt
Filed under: uncultured bacterium
Lineage: Bacteria
Description: partial 16S ribosomal RNA
Rfam family: Bacterial small subunit ribosomal RNA
Source: RNAcentral
UACGGAGGGAGCUAGCGUUGUUCGGAAUUACUGGGCGUAAAGCGCACGUAGGCGGCUUUGUAAGUUAGAGGUGAAAGCCCGGGGCUCAACUCCGGAACUGCCUUUAAGACUGCAUCGCUUGAAUUCGGGAGAGGUGAGUGGAAUUCCGAGUGUAGAGGUGAAAUUCGUAGAUAUUCGGAAGAACACCAGUGGCGAAGGCGGCUCACUGGACCGGUAUUGACGCUGAGGUGCGAAAGCGUGGGGAGCAAACAGG